GGGGUUGUGGCUCAGAGGUAGAGUGCUUGCCUAGCAUGCAUGAGGCACUGGGUACAAUGCUCAACACCA
RNAcentral lists this transfer RNA (69 nucleotides) under Ictidomys tridecemlineatus (thirteen-lined ground squirrel). Its description in RNAcentral is "Spermophilus tridecemlineatus (thirteen-lined ground squirrel) tRNA". It matches the Rfam family "tRNA". From Rfam's summary of the family: Transfer RNA (tRNA) molecules are approximately 80 nucleotides in length. Lineage: Eukaryota; Metazoa; Chordata; Mammalia; Rodentia; Sciuridae. The record is from Rfam by way of RNAcentral.